This is a long non-coding RNA of Eurytemora carolleeae, 162 nucleotides long. RefSeq lists it as uncharacterized. The record is from RefSeq and is a predicted model, not a curated record. The transcript is spliced from 3 exons. NCBI's taxonomy places the organism in Eukaryota, Metazoa, Arthropoda, Copepoda, Calanoida, Temoridae.
AAAUAUGAAAAUGGAGGCACCUGAACCAAGACUACUGUGGCAGAGUGGACCCAAGACCUUGCUUUCCUCCUUCAUUGUUGGAAUAUAUUCAGAUAAAAAGCUGAUUGGUCAGUUUGCUGGAGAGAGUGUGGAAGUGGCAGAGGAGAUGGCAGCCAGUUGUUC